CUUCUCUGAAACAUGGCUGCGGGGCUGGGCCACGGGGCCUUCCUCCUGCGAAGUUUUCCUUAGGAUGUUCGGAACUUCAGCGGGAACCACCGUGUGCGAUUCCUGUCGACCUUAAAUGCCGACUCUGCGGAAAGGUUUCCCGGACAGGCCAGCCUCUUUUCCACGGCCAUCCCUGGGGGCAGGUGCUUGCCGGGAUUCUGUAUCCGCUUAACAAACUGAAUAUGGUGAAAACAAGCACCUAGGGCAACCUAGAAACUGAAAGAAAAGGAUAGGGAGAGACUAUCUUACGCAUCGAAAGCCUGGAGGCUAGAAGACUAGGAUGAAGCAAGAGGUUGCUACAAGAAGACUUCUCCAAGGUGUGGGACCUCGCAUCAGCGAGAACAGGGACUGCAAAGGACACCUUCUCCCUCCCUAAAGCUUGGAAGCCCACACUGACCAUGAUGGAAAGGCAGAACGUGAUUACAACUUGAUCUCUUCGCCUUGAACUUGGAAGUAACAGCUUGCCCUGCCAGUUCUCUGAAGCGGCUGGUGCUGCAGGGGAGGGAGGGGGUCCUCGUCUUCUCCCUGCAUGAGAACAGCAGGUAUCGGGUACCCCGCUGCGGGAGGCCCACAACUGAGUUCCAAUGAAGGAGCCCCCAAAGCAAACAGUCUAAAGCUCCGGACCUUCCUAAAACCACUUUGCCACCCGACUAAAGCCAGAUGGCCUGAAUGUAUUCCAAGUCGUCUCCUUGUGCGGAAAAUCCCUUAAGAUUCAAAUUUCAGAGUCCUGGGCCCGGACUCAGACCUACUAAAUUAGCUUUUCGGGGGGUGGGCCCUGGACAUUUGCAUUUUGCAGAUUUAGGGGAUUCUGAGGCAUCCUAGAGUUUAGGAAACGCUGGAUUUGAGAACUAAAGACUUAAACUCUUUCUCAGAAAAAUUUGGCCCGGUGCGAUCAUAAACGUCUUUAGACCAGUAUUUUUCUCAAGCUCCCUUUUGCUACGAUGUUAACCAGGCCCUGGGGAGGUGCAGGUUCAUUACAGAACACAAGAUCUGUUCACAGAAGGUGGCAUCCCGUUCAUCUAAAUGCCUCUGACUUGCUAAUCCUGCUGUUGGCGGCUUAAUAGUUUGCUCUGAACAAAAGGAGCAGAGACAGCAGGUGAAUCUGAUUUGUGCUUGCAGUUGCCAUGGCAACGGCAGGCAGCCGAAAUCGCUGGCUAGAAAGGACCCCCUCCCAGGCCAUCCCUCCGUUCCAUUGUGAAAGCUCCGGCUCUGCUCGCCUCAGACUGGAAAUCUGGCCUCCUUGGGGCAGGGUUGAUAAAUGUGUAUUCCCAAAAGAAGUAAAUAGGAAAUCGUGCUUUCCUACCGCUCUGUUUUCUUCUCUUACGUGUCUUCCAAAAGCAUCUCAGCAUAACCCAAACAGGAUGGAAAUUCUUCUCAUCUCCUGGCAUAAAUCUCAUCUUGCCUCCUGCUUGCUGGGGAAUAGGAGGAGGUGAGCUCUAUGACUACUUGAACCAGUAGACUAUGGCAGAAAUGAUGCUGUGACCCCCACUCAACAUUGCCUGAUGCUGGAGUUAACCUAAUCACCCUUGGUUGAGUGACCUUCUGAGGUCCUGGGAGGUAAGCUUUACUGCAAGUGAAAAUACUCUGCUUUUCUCCGUCAAAGAGACAUCAUCUUAACAUCCAGACUCUGACACUGCGUGCAGUAGGACAAGAGGUCUCCCCACCUCUGGAAACAAGCUCAAGAUUUCCGUUUAUAUCACGCACCAAAAGUUGGAUGGUCCCAAGAUGGAGCCAUCUCUACCCGGACAAGACACACCCAUUGACUCCUCCCUGGUUUUAAUAAAUAGCCCCAGGAAGUCAGUCUCUUCCUUCCGCUUACAAGGGCCAUGGGAGCGCUCUGGACUGCUUUUGAAUUCAGCAGCUUCGGCGAGUGCUAAUUGUUUUUAUUCUGUGAAUUUAGAAUUGGGUAGUUUGGAGCAGCAUGAUGAAGGCAAAUUCAUGCAAAAGUACAUCCCCAGGAUUUCCUGUAAGAAUCUCUUAUUCCGGUGGCAGUUAGGAGUUUUUACAAGUACUUAU
Molecule: long non-coding RNA, 2055 nt
Organism: Equus caballus (horse)
Lineage: Eukaryota; Metazoa; Chordata; Mammalia; Perissodactyla; Equidae
Source: Ensembl